RNAcentral lists this ribosomal RNA (360 nucleotides) under uncultured delta proteobacterium. RNAcentral describes it as "bacterial SSU rRNA". It matches the Rfam family "Bacterial small subunit ribosomal RNA", at positions 185 to 523 of the family's 1533-position model. The record is from RNAcentral. Lineage: Bacteria; Deltaproteobacteria.
AGUUUCGGCUUCUGCGGUGAAAGACGGCCUAUGCUUGCAAGCUCUUACUCGAGGACGGGCCUGCGUGCCAUUAGCUAGUUGGUGGGGUAACGGCCCACCAAGGCGAUGAUGGCUAGCUGGUCUUAGAGGAUGGCCAGCCACACUGGGACUGAAACACGGCCCAGACUCCUACGGGAGGCAGCAGUGGGGGAUAUUGCGCAAUGGCGAAAGCCUGACGCAGCGACGCCGCGUGGGUGAUGAAGGCCUUCGGGUCGUAAAGCCCUGUCGAGGGGGAAGAACCGGCAUUGACCUAAUACGUCAGUGCCCUGACGGUACCCCUAAAGGAAGCACCGGCUAACUCCGUGCCAGCAGCCGCGGUAA